Carassius auratus (goldfish) is the source of this 2357-nucleotide RNA transcript. RefSeq lists it as uncharacterized. The record is from RefSeq and is a predicted model, not a curated record. NCBI's taxonomy places the organism in Eukaryota, Metazoa, Chordata, Actinopteri, Cypriniformes, Cyprinidae. The transcript is spliced from 4 exons.
CCUUUGAAGCAAAUGAAUGAAUGUUUGAUGGAAAGAACUAAAAAUAAAUCCUCUGUUUAUGUUCAGAAACUUUCAAAUACAUUUUCUGCAGAAAGGAGUUUUGUUCUAAUGUGAUUCCACUGAUUCUUUCGUUCUUUCUGGUGGGAUUAUCUGUGUGUGUGUGUGUGUGUGUGUGAGAGAGAGAGAGAGAGAGAGAGAGAAAACACACUGAGUCUGCGCGCUGGGGGAGGAGUAUCUAUGUCACACUCCCUCUCUCUCUCUCUCUGUCUUUCUCCUUCUGCUCUAUACUUGCAGUUUUUCCGCCCUCUCACUUCUCCCUUUUUAUUUCUCUCUCUCUCUCUCUCUCGCGCGAGUGCAAGGCCAUGUGGGACGUCUGAUGAGGAGUUUCACCCCUCCAUGUAUCUAGUUUCAUAUCUCUCUUUCCCUCUCCACCGUUCUUUCGCUUUCCAUACGGGUUCCUCAAGCUCCACUGUCUUUGCAAGGUGGAGACCCGCUGGAGACUAGUUUUAAGAGUGUAAGGGGGGAAAGGGGGAAAGAAAAAAAAACAGGCUUUUUCUUUUUGCCACGAGGGCCUCCUGACUAGAGUGCGACAGAGGCUUCACCACAAGCCCCUUCCAUUUUCCAGCACAAUUUAGUGUGCUUUUUCAUGCACCCAAUUGCGGAAUUUCAGCAAGAUUUGCGACUGCGUUCGGUUCACGAAGUGCCUAUUUUGACAUGUUCUUUUUCAAUUUCAGCGAGUGGAGUCGAAUUCCACUCGGACCUGCAGCCUAUGGCAGCGUAGUGCCAGGCCAAUCAGAUCACUGAUAACCUGCUGGAUUUGCCAUUUGGAAGUACUGGCCUGCGACUUACCCAUUUCCGAUCCGACAUUGGAUUCAGGAGUGAAGCUGCUCCACUUUGGGACAAGUGCCAGUUGCAAAAAGGCGAGUGAAAAUAUCAAUGAUCUGCAUGAGGAAACAUUGAGGGUGAGCGGAAAACACAAACUCACAAAUGUCGGUGCAACUAUUGCAGAAAAAAGUGAAGAAUGGUUGAAAGGGGAAGGGAAGACACAAAAUAUGGAUCGUAAAAGAUGAGGUGAUGUGUUUAUUCAAGCCUGUUUGAUGCACCUCGGGCCUUCAAGAGUUGAUUGCAUGUGCCGUGGCAACUGUGGGACUAUUUGCAUGCAGCAGACACGCUAAUUGUGUGUUUGCUAACAUGCACUAUUCAGCACGAUGCACUCCGGUCUUAGACGGGGUUCACACACGCCUUCCAGACGUCCUGGAGGCCUCCUAUUGUUCCAGAGGCCCAGCCAAGCAGCAGGCAAGCCUAACCAGAGCCCCGCGAAGGCCUGCCGAGAGGCGAAGCUGGAAUUCAAGACCAGACGGGAUAGCGGGAGAGUGAACAGACUCACAGCCCCUCUCUCUCUUUCACUCCGCAGCAGGAAAAAAGAGGCCUGUGGGAAGUGCUACCUCCAGGCACUGAUGUCCUCGCAGAUGUGUGCACAAGAGGAGUUGCAAGAUUCUGCUUUGCACAGGCUCACUGUAACCACACGAUCACCACAGUCGUCAUUAUAUGAAAGGAGCAGAAGGAAGACUCCACAGAUGAGUUUGAGCAGCAUGCGGUGAGUAAAUAGGAUGCAGCUGCUCGCCUUCAUGAACACACCAGACCAGAGACAUGGACCAGACGUCUUUUCUGGCCUCACACUAAAUCACUUUCUCACAUUGUAUCAGUCACAGGGAGCUGAGGAAACUCUGGCGUUAACAAGGUGGAGUCUUUGGUGGAACAAUGUGCCACAGAUCUGGUCAUUGUCUCGCAUUAUAACAAGUACAGUGAACGUUUGGGGGAAAUUAUGAAGAAAUAAGGUGGAAACAGUUGUUUGAAGGAUAGCGAGGAGGAAGUCAGAGCGAGGCUGUUGUUGGUACAGUGUGAGUUCACUGGGAACCUGAUCCGGCCCUCACUGAUUGAUCAUUGCUCCACAUUCCUCCACCCUUUGAAGACUGUGGUCAGAUUCAACGCCAGCCUGACCAAACCCUUCCAGAGCCUCAUUGUGUCCAAAUCCUGUGCGUCUGCCUGCGAGGGUCGCUGUAGAGAUGCUCAUUAUUUAAUGUUUGCUCCACCGGAUACUGCCUUUACUGCUGUGCUCUGGACAGAACAAACUGUAGGGCUUUAGCAAAGAAGAGUCCCUUGAGCUGUUUAAUGUGCAAUUACUACAUUAUUUGGUAAAUGUGUUUCCAGCCUACGCACUUAAUCUUUUUUUAUCCUAAAAAAAAUAAAAAAUAAAAAUAAUAAUGCACAUUUUAAUUUUUACAUUUUUUAUUUGUUUGUUUCUCUUAUUUGUUUCUAAUCCAGCAUUUUUGAUACAAAAGCCCAAAAUUUGAAUA